This 339-nucleotide unclassified non-coding RNA is filed under the name soil metagenome. Its description in RNAcentral is "partial contains 5.8S ribosomal RNA, internal transcribed spacer 2, and large subunit ribosomal RNA". The stretch from base 1 to 120 matches the Rfam family "5.8S ribosomal RNA", at positions 35 to 154 of the family's 154-position model. The record is from RNAcentral.
GAUGAAGAACUCAGCGAAAUGCGAUAACUAAUGUGAAUUGCAGAAUUCAGUGAAUCAUCGAGUCUUUGAACGCACAUUGCGCCCCCUGGUAUUCCGGGGGGCAUGCCUGUCCGAGCGUCAUUGCUGCCCUCAAGCACGGCUUGUGUGUUGGGCUCCGUCCCCCCGGGGACGGGCCCGAAAGGCAGCGGCGGCACCGAGUCCGGUCCUCGAGCGUAUGGGGCUUUGUCACCCGCUCUGUAGGCCCGGCCGGCGCCAGCCGACAACCCAUCAUCCUUUUCAGGUUGACCUCGGAUCAGGUGGGGAUACCCGCUGAACUUAAGCAUAUCAAUAAGCGGAGGA